CCUACGGGUGGCUGCAGUGGGGGAUAUUGCACAAUGGGGGGUACCCUGAUGCAGCGACGCCGCGGGGGUGAAGAAGGGCCGCGGCGCGUAAAGCCCUGGCAGCAGGGAAGAAAAGGACGGUACCUGAAGAAGAAGCCCCGGCUAACUACGGGCCAGCAGCCGCGGUAAAACGUAGGGGGCAGGCGUUAUCCGGAUUUACUGGGUGUAAAGGGGGCGGAGGCGGGCUUUUAAGUCAGCGGUAAAAUUUCGGGGCUCAACCCCGUCCGGCCGUUGAAACCGGGGGCCUUGAGUGGGCGAGAAGCAGGCGGAAUGCGUGGUGUAGCGGUGAAAUGCAUAGAUAUCACGCAGAACCCCGAUUGCGAAGGCAGCCUUCCGGCGCCCUACUGACGCUGAGGCACGAAAGUGCGGGGAUCGAACAGGAUUAGAUACCCCUGUAGUC
RNAcentral lists this ribosomal RNA (439 nucleotides) under uncultured bacterium. Its description in RNAcentral is "partial 16S ribosomal RNA". It matches the Rfam family "Bacterial small subunit ribosomal RNA", at positions 338 to 795 of the family's 1533-position model. The record is from RNAcentral.